UACGUAGGGGGCAAGCGUUGUCCGGAUUUAUUGGGCGUAAAGAGCGUGUAGGCGGCUUGACAAGUCUGCUGUGAAAACUUGAGGCUCAACCUCAAGCUGUCGGCGGAAACUGUCAGGCUAGAGUCCGGAGGAGGAGAGUGGAAUUCCUGGUGUAGCGGUGAAAUGCGCAGAUAUCAGGAAGAACACCUAUGGCGAAGGCAGCUCUCUGGGACGGUACUGACGCUGAGACGCGAAAGCGUGGGGAGCGAACAGG
This 253-nucleotide ribosomal RNA is filed under the name uncultured bacterium. RNAcentral describes it as "partial 16S ribosomal RNA". It matches the Rfam family "Bacterial small subunit ribosomal RNA", at positions 524 to 776 of the family's 1533-position model. The record is from RNAcentral.